RNAcentral lists this ribosomal RNA (231 nucleotides) under uncultured Enterobacterales bacterium. RNAcentral's name for it is "partial 16S ribosomal RNA". It matches the Rfam family "Bacterial small subunit ribosomal RNA", at positions 99 to 334 of the family's 1533-position model. The record is from RNAcentral. Lineage: Bacteria; Pseudomonadati; Pseudomonadota; Gammaproteobacteria; Enterobacterales.
CGGACGGGUGAGUAAUGUCUGGGAAACUGCCUGAUGGAGGGGGAUAACUACUGGAAACGGUAGCUAAUACCGCAUAACGUCGCAAGACCAAAGAGGGGACCUUCGGGCCUCUUGCCAUCAGAUGUGCCCAGAUGGGAUUAGCUUGUUAGUGGGGUAACGGCUCACCAAGGCGACGAUCCCUAGCUGGUCUGAGAGGAUGACCAGCCACACUGGAACUGAGACACGGUCCAG